UGAACGAUUUUUACUACUUUCCAAAGUGUAAAACCACGAUAACAUUUUUUUUAGUUUACCGCAACGAAACCGUGUCUUACUAAUUAUUAUGGGUGUAUAAUACCAUGUAAUAAAAAUAUACAACAGAUAUAUUUUCUCCAUUUUCAGAAUAACGUUUCGGUCACUUAACCUCACCUUACCCGGUACACGUUUUCCGUCAGAAAUUUCGGUUGGAUAUAUUUUUUUCACAAAUAUUCGUGCGUUCUAAAAAUCAUCAACAUCGUGCUCCCGAAAACUCUCAGACCUGACAC
This is a non-coding RNA of Cinara cedri, 290 nucleotides long. The record is from the annotation of a GenBank genome assembly. NCBI's taxonomy places the organism in Eukaryota, Metazoa, Arthropoda, Insecta, Hemiptera, Aphididae.